GCCCCAUAAUCUGGGGUGCGGACAGUGUCUGGUGGGUAGUUUGACUGGGGCGGUCUCCUCCCAAAGCGUAACGGAGGAGCACGAAGGUUGGCUAAGCAUGGUCGGACAUCAUGCGGUUAGUGCAAAGGCAUAAGCCAGCUUGACUGCGAGAGUGACGGCUCGAGCAGGUACGAAAGUAGGUCUUAGUGAUCCGGUGGUUCUGAAUGGAAGGGCCAUCGCUCAACGGAUAAAAGGUACUCCGGGGAUAACAGGCUGAUACCGCCCAAGAGUUCAUAUCGACGGCGGUGUUUGGCACCUCGAUGUCGGCUCAUCACAUCCUGGGGCUGAAGUAGGUCCCAAGGGUAUGGCUGUUCGCCAUUUAAAGUGGUACGCGAGCUGGGUUUAGAACGUCGUGAGACAGUUCGGUCCCUAUCUGCCGUGGGCGUUGGAAGAUUGAAAGGGGCUGCUCCUAGUACGAGAGGACCGGAGUGGACGCACCGCUGGUGUUCGGGUUGUCAUGCCAAUGGCACUGCCCGGUAGCUAAGUGCGGAAGAGAUAACCGCUGAAAGCAUCUAAGCGGGAAACUUGCCUUGAGAUGAGUCUUCCCUGACUCUUUAAGGGUCCUAAAGGAACGUUUAAGACGAAGACGUUGAUAGGCUGGGUGUGUAAGCGUAGCGAUACGUUGAGCUAACCAGUACUAAUGAACCGUGAGGCUUAACCUGACAACACCGAAGGUGUUUUAG
RNAcentral lists this ribosomal RNA (722 nucleotides) under Providencia stuartii. RNAcentral's name for it is "partial 23S ribosomal RNA". It matches the Rfam family "Bacterial large subunit ribosomal RNA", at positions 2230 to 2925 of the family's 2925-position model. Lineage: Bacteria; Pseudomonadati; Pseudomonadota; Gammaproteobacteria; Enterobacterales; Morganellaceae. The record is from RNAcentral.